GACGAACGCUGGCGGCGUGCUUAACACAUGCAAGUCGAACGGUAAGGCCCUUCGGGGUACACGAGUGGCGAACGGGUGAGUAACACGUGGGUGAUCUGCCCUGCACUUUGGGAUAAGCCUGGGAAACUGGGUCUAAUACCGGAUAGGACCAUGGCAUGCAUGUGCUGUGGUGGAAAGCUUUUGCGGUGUGGGAUGGGCCCGCGGCCUAUCAGCUUGUUGGUGGGGUGAUGGCCUACCAAGGCGACGACGGGUAGCCGGCCUGAGAGGGUGUCCGGCCAAACUGGGACUGAGAUACGGCCCAGACUCCUACGGGAGGCAGCAGUGGGGAAUAUUGCACAAUGGGCGCAAGCCUGAUGCAGCGACGCCGCGUGGGGGAUGACGGCCUUCGGGUUGUAAACCUCUUUCAAUAGGGACGAAGCGCAAGUGACGGUACCUAUAGAAGAAGCACCGGCCAACUACGUGCCAGCCGCCGCCGUAA
This 478-nucleotide ribosomal RNA is filed under the name uncultured bacterium. RNAcentral's name for it is "partial 16S ribosomal RNA". It matches the Rfam family "Bacterial small subunit ribosomal RNA", at positions 28 to 523 of the family's 1533-position model. The record is from RNAcentral.